RNAcentral lists this ribosomal RNA (469 nucleotides) under uncultured bacterium. Its description in RNAcentral is "bacterial SSU rRNA". It matches the Rfam family "Bacterial small subunit ribosomal RNA", at positions 329 to 795 of the family's 1533-position model. The record is from RNAcentral.
UUCCAGACUCCUACGGGAGGCAGCAGUGAGGAAUAUUGGUCAAUGGGCGAGAGCCUGAACCAGCCAAGUCGCGUGAAGGAUGACGGCCCUACGGGUUGUAAACUUCUUUUGUCAGGGAGCAAUUGGGUCCACGCGUGGGCUUAGCGAGAGUACCUGAAGAAAAAGCAUCGGCUAACUCCGUGCCAGCAGCCGCGGUAAUACGGAGGAUCCGAGCGUUAUCCGGAUUUAUUGGGUUUAAAGGGAGCGUAGGUGGAUUGUUAAGUCAGUUGUGAAAGUUUGCGGCUCAACCGUAAAAUUGCAGUUGAAACUGGCAGUCUUGAGUACAGUAGAGGUGGGCGGAAUUCGUGGUGUAGCGGUGAAAUGCUUAGAUAUCACGAAGAACUCCGAUUGCGAAGGCAGCUCACUGGACUGCAACUGACACUGAGGCUCGAAAGUGUGGGUAUCAAACAGGAUUAGAUACCCUAGUAAC